Long non-coding RNA from Salvelinus sp. IW2-2015, 469 nucleotides. RefSeq lists it as uncharacterized. NCBI's taxonomy places the organism in Eukaryota, Metazoa, Chordata, Actinopteri, Salmoniformes, Salmonidae. The record is from RefSeq and is a predicted model, not a curated record.
GGUAGGUGUGGUGAAUCGUUCAGACGAGGCAGGCUUUGUGAGUGUGACCCAGGCUGUGUCCGCUACGACACCUGUUGCCGUGACUACCAGAACCACUGUGAUGCCACUACAACUCCACCACCAACUCAGAGGAUCAAGCCGGAUGCCAAGAAAAAGCCAACAGUGCCUCCCAAGAACAAACCCAUCAGCGAGACAGAAUUUAAGAGUCUCAAAUCUCCCAAGAAACCUUCAAACAGCGAGAGUGAGGAAAGCAGCCAAGACCAGAGCCAGACCAUAUACCCUUCUCCAUCCGACCUCUUCCCUGAGACUCAGGACUAUGAUACCAACGGCUCUUACCCUGGAUCUAGCAGCCCUAAGAGCCAGAGUGACUAUUCUCGUUUCUCUGAGGACCCAGCUCUCCCUUUGAGCCCUGACUUCUACCCUCUGACUGACAGCUUCAAUGUUCCCAGCUCCACCACCCCAGCUACUG